UCUAGAACUGCACGUUAUGUGCCCUCCAAGAAAAUAAGUGGUAACUAUUAACUAUUCAGAACUUCUCUCUUGAUUGGGGUAGAAAUUUUGACAACUAACCUUAGGCUUCAAAGCCUUCCUUCAAACCCCUGUACACCAUGGGGAGUACUGGGACAGUUUGGUGACUAAAAUGGAAUCCAAAUGUUUAGGUUUCAAAACAGGUAUCUAAAUGCAGUCAGUUAAUAAGUUACCAUCAUUAUUUAUUUGCAUUUCAUCUUGCCCUUGUCUUGGCUUAGGCUUCUCUUAAUUUCACUCAGAAUUCACAGCCUAGAAACGUCUCUUUGUAGGUUAUUCUCAAACUUGUUUUUGAAGGAAGAAUGGAAAUCUGCUUUUUAUUUAAAAGCCCUUCUCGACAAGGCUGCCUGUCCAGCAGGUGGGGGAAUUACAUCCUAAACCUGAAGAGAGACUGAACCAGAAAGAUGUGGGCUGUCUUGGAGAGUGGGCACUCUGCCUCUUUUGUUUGGAAGCUGCGCCAGCCUGCAGGGUGGAAAAAAAUGCAUUGUUCAGUAAACCCAAGUGUGAUCGUCAGAAGCCCAACCAUCAUUCAGGGCUACAGCAUACCAGAAACACAGACAGAAUCGAAAGCUCCACUUCUGACAUGGAAUUUCACCUGAUUGAUGGCACCCUGAUGGCUAACUUGAUGCUUUUCCGAGAGUAUGUUAUAUUCCUAAACUGCAAGAUCAAAAUGGAAAGAACAUUUUAAUUUCCACUAGCAAACACUGUCACUGAGGAGGAGGAACACUGAUCAGCCCAUAAAAGACUCACUUGAACUGCUGUAGCAUUAUGUACCACAGAUCCACACAUCACUGGUCAAACGAUACGGUAUGGUUUUGAUUAAGUAUGUUUCUAUGGAGCAUUCCGAUUGCUCCCUCUCACUGUGGUGAGAGAGAUCUUUCUGAAAGGUCUAACAAGUGCAAUGCUUGUCUGUAUUUUACGUAACUGACUAAAAACCCUAAUUACUGAGUUCUGAUAGGUGCUGUACCCUGGUCUUUUCAGAAAAAAAACACAUAAGCAAAUAUUUCCGUAUUUUGUGCCAAAUAAAGUAGCAGUUGAUUAGCUUCUGACA
This 1105-nucleotide long non-coding RNA is filed under the name Calidris pugnax (ruff). Its description in RNAcentral is "lncRNA (ENSCPUG00000009092.1)". The record is from RNAcentral. Lineage: Eukaryota; Metazoa; Chordata; Aves; Charadriiformes; Scolopacidae.